CAAGAGGCGCUUCCGUCCUUACAGUUCGUGCACGUGACGCAGGAAUAAGGCUGGCAGCCAAAACUGCCCGAUUGUGCCUAUCAAGUGUCCCUGUGUUGGGAGGGAAUGUCCUGAGGAGCUGGCUGGCCACUGACAUUUGGAAAAUGAAUGAAUUGUGCUUGCCAGGUGCUUGAGAACAACAUUUGGCAUGAAAUAGCUGGCAUGACAUGAGUUUGCAGGCAGUGUUUUAUUUCCUAUUCUUCUAGACCUUCCCAUUGUAUCAAGAGACUGAACAGGAACCCUUUUCAGAGGGCAUCAAAUAUUCCAAGGGGAUAGUUACAGAUAUGUUUGCAAUAUAUUAAUUUUAUUAAGAUAUUUAAUUAGAGUAGGAUUGCAUUUGGAAUAUUGUCCCAAAUAAUAACAGCAGUGGAGACCUGAAAUGGAUCUGGAAUGCAUGCUGUGGAGACACUGGGAAAAUCUGGAAAAAGUCAAGCAUACACAGAACAGCCGACAGGAGCUCCUGGCUGGGGCCAGAGAAAUCUCCCGGUGGAUCCCCUGCCUUCAGCUUCCCGGGUUCCCCCGGGUGCUGUGCAGCAAACAUCCAACUCUGAAACAGACUCUGCUCCCAUUUGAGGACUUGUUUGAUUUGAAUUCAGUUCUUCUGCGGACAUAGAAGGAACGUGAAGCUUAUCUUCUAGCUGAGGCCCUACGAGAGGACGCGCUUUCAAUACCAGAGCUGUUUGCAUCUUGCCAUGGACAGAAGAAGCCUGGACAACUACAUUAAUGAUAGCCUGGAAAACACAAACUGCAGGAAAAAACACAACAGAGACCCCACAAACAGCAUGGGGCAAGGAGGAGGGGGAAGGGAUGGGAAAGAAGGGGUUAAACAUGCCAAGGUCAUAGUAAUUUCUGUUGAGUAGAAUCACAGAAUGGUUUGGAUUGGAACGGAUGCUAAGCUCAUCCAGUUCCAAACCCCCUGCCAUGGGCAGGGACACCUUUCACUAGACCAGGUUGCUCAGAGCCCCAUCCAAUGUGGCCUUGAGCUCUCCCAGAGAUGGGGUAUCCAUAACUUCCCUGGGCAGCCUGUUCAAGUGCUUCAGCAGCCUCACAGUACAGAAUCACCUGCU
Onychostruthus taczanowskii (white-rumped snowfinch) is the source of this 1106-nucleotide long non-coding RNA. RefSeq lists it as uncharacterized. The record is from RefSeq and is a predicted model, not a curated record. The transcript has 3 exons. Lineage: Eukaryota; Metazoa; Chordata; Aves; Passeriformes; Passeridae.